RNAcentral lists this ribosomal RNA (253 nucleotides) under uncultured bacterium. RNAcentral describes it as "partial 16S ribosomal RNA". It matches the Rfam family "Bacterial small subunit ribosomal RNA", at positions 524 to 776 of the family's 1533-position model. The record is from RNAcentral.
UACAGAGGUCUCAAGCGUUGUUCGGAUUCAUUGGGCGUAAAGGGUGCGUAGGUGGCGCCGUAAGUCAGGUGUGAAAUCUCGGGGCUCAACCCCGAAACUGCACUUGAUACUGCGGUGCUCGAGUACUGGAGAGGAGAUUGGAAUUUACGGUGUAGCAGUGAAAUGCGUAGAUAUCGGGAGGAACACCUGUGGCGAAAGCGGCUCACUGGACCAUAACUGACGCUGAUGCACGAAAGCUGGGGGAGCAAACAGG